Octopus sinensis (East Asian common octopus) is the source of this 237-nucleotide long non-coding RNA. RefSeq lists it as uncharacterized. The record is from RefSeq and is a predicted model, not a curated record. Lineage: Eukaryota; Metazoa; Mollusca; Cephalopoda; Octopoda; Octopodidae. The transcript has 3 exons.
CUCUUUAGCAUUCACAUUAUUUUGCCAAAAUUAAUGCCUUUUUAUUCACAUUGUUUUGAAUUAAUCAUGCAUUAUGUUGUAGCUUUGAGAUUUUGAUGAGGCAACUGUUAAUUCUUAGAAUGAUAUUAUAGGGUUGGUGUGAGGAACCAGAUCUGGCCAGUUUUAACAUAAAACUGGCAGGAUACUUUGACCAGAUAUGGCUGGUUUAAAUGCUAAAGGGUUGAAAACUAAAUAUAA